UGCUUAAUACAUGCAAGCCGAGCGGGAGUAGUAAUACUUCAGCGGCGCACGGGUGAGUAACACGUAAAUAACCUGCCUUCAAGUUCGGGAUAACGGUUCUAACGGACUGCUAAUACCGGAUGUGGCGUAUACGCGGCAUCGCGUAUAUGUUAAAGUAUUUAUACGUUUGAAGAUGGAUUUGCGGACCAUUAGCUAGUUGGUGAGAUAAUAGCUUACCAAGGCGAUGAUGGUUAGCCGGCCUGAGAGGGUGGACGGCCACAAUGGGACUGAGACACGGCCCAUACUCCUACGGGAGGCAGCAGUAGGGAAUAUUGCGCAAUGGAUGAAAGUCUGACGCAGCAACUCCGCGUGAUGGACGAAGGUCUUCGGAUUGUAAACAUCUUUUAUUUGUGAAGAAAAAAUUAAAAUUGACGGUAGCAAAUGAAUAAGCUCCGGCUAAAUAUGUGCCAGCAGCCGCGGUAAUACAUAUGGAGCGAGCGUUACUCGGAAUCACUGGGCGUAAAGGGUGCGUAGGCUGUAGAAUAAGUCAUGGUUUUAACUUCGGGGCUCAACCUCGACUGUGAUUGUGAUACUGUUUUACUUGAAUACUUGAGGGGUAAAUGGAAUUUCCGGUGUAGCGGUGGAAUGCGUAGAUAUCGGAAAGAACACCAACGGCGAAGGCAGUUUACCGGCAAGAUAUUGACGCUGAGGCACGAAAGCGUGGGGAGCAAACAGGAUUAGAUACCCUGGUAGUCCACGCCGUAAACUAUGGACAUUAGUCGUUGGGCCGUAAGGCUCGGUGGCGUAGAUAACUUGUUAAAUGUCCCGCCUGGGUAGUACGUCCGCAAGGAUGAAACCCAAAGGAAUUGACGGGGACCCGCACAAGCGGUGGAGCAUGUGCUUUAAUUCGAUGCAACGCGAAGAACCUUACCUGGUCUUGACAUAGUUCUGCCGAUCUCAGAGAUGAGAUUUUCAGCAAUGACAGGACAUACAGAUGCUGCAUGGUUGUCGUCAGCUCGUGUCGUGAGAUGUUGGGUUAAGUCCCGCAACGAGCGCAACCCUUGCCAAUAGUUACCAGCGAGUUAUGUCGGGGACUCUAUUGGGACUGCCUUCGCAAGGAGGAGGAAGGUGGGGAUGACGUCAAAUCAUCAUGGCUCUUACGACCAGGGCUA
RNAcentral lists this ribosomal RNA (1151 nucleotides) under uncultured Chitinivibrionia bacterium. RNAcentral describes it as "bacterial SSU rRNA". It matches the Rfam family "Bacterial small subunit ribosomal RNA", at positions 45 to 1216 of the family's 1533-position model. Lineage: Bacteria; Pseudomonadati; Fibrobacterota; Chitinivibrionia. The record is from RNAcentral.